GAAGCUAACCUUUGAAUCUUCGGAUGAUUAAGUUAGUGGAAAGUGGCGAACGGGUGAGUAACGCGUGAGAAUCUACCUGAUAGUGGGGGAUAACAACCGGAAACGGUUGCUAAUACCGCAUGUGCUCUACGGAGUAAAGAUGGCCUCUAUUUAUAAGCUAUUGCUAACAGAUGAGCUCGCGUCCCAUUAGCUAGUUGGUGGGGUAAAGGCCUACCAAGGCAACGAUGGGUAGCCGGCCUGAGAGGGUGACC
Molecule: ribosomal RNA, 251 nt
Filed under: uncultured bacterium
Lineage: Bacteria
Description: partial 16S ribosomal RNA
Rfam family: Bacterial small subunit ribosomal RNA
Source: RNAcentral